Long non-coding RNA from Triticum dicoccoides, 136 nucleotides. RefSeq lists it as uncharacterized. Lineage: Eukaryota; Viridiplantae; Streptophyta; Magnoliopsida; Poales; Poaceae. The record is from RefSeq and is a predicted model, not a curated record. The transcript is spliced from 2 exons.
CGCCGCCUCCCUCUCUGACCCCAAGCUCCCCUUCAAAGUGUUCAGCGUGCCGGAGGCGGCGCCCUUCACCGCGGUGCUCAAGUUCGCCGCCGAGGAGUUCAAGGUCCCGCCCCAGACCAGCGCCAUCAUCACCAAC